GGAUCCAGACUUUGAUUAUGGCUCAGGAUGAACGCUAGCUACAGGCUUAACACAUGCAAGUCGAGGGGAAACGAUAUUGGAAGCUUGCUUCCGAUAGGCGUCGACCGGCGCACGGGUGAGUAACGCGUAUCCAACCUGCCCAUCACUUGGGGAUAACCUUGCGAAAGUAAGACUAAUACCCAAUGACGUCUCUAGAAGACAUCUGAAAGAGAUUAAAGAUUUAUCGGUGAUGGAUGGGGAUGCGUCUGAUUAGCUUGUUGGCGGGGUAACGGCCCACCAAGGCAACGAUCAGUAGGGGUUCUGAGAGGAAGGUCCCCCACAUUGGAACUGAGACACGGUCCAAACUCCUACGGGAGGCAGCAGUGAGGAAUAUUGGUCAAUGGACGAGAGUCUGAACCAGCCAAGUAGCGUGCAGGAUGACGGCCCUAUGGGUUGUAAACUGCUUUUAUAAGGGAAUAAAGUGAGUCUCGUGAGACUUUUUGCAUGUACCUUAUGAAUAAGGACCGGCUAAUUCCGUGCCAGCAGCCGCGGUAAUACGGAAGGUCCGGGCGUUAUCCGGAUUUAUUGGGUUUAAAGGGAGCGUAGGCCGGAGAUUAAGCGUGUUGUGAAAUGUAGACGCUCAACGUCUGCACUGCAGCGCGAACUGGUUUCCUUGAGUACGCACAAAGUGGGCGGAAUUCGUGGUGUAGCGGUGAAAUGCUUAGAUAUCACGAAGAACUCCGAUUGCGAAGGCAGCUCACUGGAGCGCAACUGACGCUGAAGCCCGAAAGUGCGGGUAUCGAACAGGAUUAGAUACCCUGGUAGUCCGCACGGUAAACGAUGGAUGCCCGCUGUUGGUCUGAAUAGGUCAGCGGCCAAGCGAAAGCAUUAAGCAUCCCACCUGGGGAGUACGCCGGCAACGGUGCAACUCAA
Molecule: ribosomal RNA, 912 nt
Filed under: uncultured Bacteroidota bacterium
Lineage: Bacteria; Pseudomonadati; Bacteroidota
Description: bacterial SSU rRNA
Rfam family: Bacterial small subunit ribosomal RNA
Source: RNAcentral